Camellia sinensis is the source of this 391-nucleotide long non-coding RNA. RefSeq lists it as uncharacterized. NCBI's taxonomy places the organism in Eukaryota, Viridiplantae, Streptophyta, Magnoliopsida, Ericales, Theaceae. The record is from RefSeq and is a predicted model, not a curated record.
GUUCUAAUGUGUAGUUCAGGAGUAGAAUUGGGCUUUUAAGUCCUCUGGACUGUGCUGCUAUCCUGUGGAACACUAAAUGAUCUGGUGACUGCCAGUCAGUACUACUGUGAAGACUAGAGGAGAUUCAUGGAGGCUGAAGGUGAUGAUGAUGAUGCCGAGGCUGAUGAUGAUGAAACUGACAAAGAUGCUCAUAUUACAGAAGAGAGUGCACAUGAUGAGUUGUAGGGAGGGAGAGCACCGUUGUGGUUUUCUGCUGACAAUUCACUCUCUCGAGAUCUCUGAAUUUUUUUCUUGCUUAGUUUAUUUGUAGCUUUUAGUUUUGUUUGUGUUUUAGGAAAAGAAACAUUGGUGGCUGCAUAGCAAGCAAGAACUGUGGCUAAUUGUUUUAAUC